RNAcentral lists this unclassified non-coding RNA (162 nucleotides) under uncultured Sordariomycetes. RNAcentral's name for it is "sequence contains ITS2". The record is from RNAcentral. Lineage: Eukaryota; Fungi; Ascomycota; Sordariomycetes.
CAAACCUCAAGCCCCUUGUGAGCUUGGCUUUGGGGCAUCUGCUAGACCCUGUCUAGCAGGCCCUGAAAAUCGACGGCGGACCUGUUAGGCCUCUGAGCGCAGUAAUUUUUUCUCGCUUUUGGGAUCUCUUCAGGCUCUCUUGCCUCACCAAUACUUUUUUAA